RNAcentral lists this ribosomal RNA (492 nucleotides) under uncultured bacterium. RNAcentral's name for it is "partial 16S ribosomal RNA". It matches the Rfam family "Bacterial small subunit ribosomal RNA", at positions 29 to 507 of the family's 1533-position model. The record is from RNAcentral.
AGUGAACGCUGGCGGUAGGCCUAACACAUGCAAGUCGAACGGCAGCACAGUAAGAGCUUGCUCUUACGGGUGGCGAGUGGCGGACGGGUGGGGAAUACAUCGGAAUCUACUUUUUCGUGGGGGAUAACGUAGGGAAACUUACGCUAAUACCGCAUACGACCUACGGGUGAAAGCAGGGGAUCUUCGGACCUUGCGCGAUUGAAUGAGCCGAUGUCGGAUUAGCUAGUUGGCGGGGUAAAGGCCCACCAAGGCGACGAUCCGUAGCUGGUCUGAGAGGAUGAUCAGCCACACUGGAACUGAGACACGGUCCAGACUCCUACGGGAGGCAGCAGUGGGGAAUAUUGGACAAUGGGCGCAAGCCUGAUCCAGCCAUACCGCGUGGGUGAAGAAGGCCUUCGGGUUGUAAAGCCCUUUUGUUGGGAAUGAAAAGCAGCAGGUUAAUACCCCGCUGUUCUGACGGUACCCAAAGAAUAAGCACCGGCUAACUUCGUG